Long non-coding RNA from Aptenodytes forsteri (emperor penguin), 684 nucleotides. RefSeq lists it as uncharacterized. Lineage: Eukaryota; Metazoa; Chordata; Aves; Sphenisciformes; Spheniscidae. The transcript is spliced from 2 exons. The record is from RefSeq and is a predicted model, not a curated record.
CCUCUCUGCAGGCAAAGAAGAGGAAAAGAGCAGAACGCUUUGGGAUCGUCUGAUGCCGGUCCUUUUUAGCUUCAGCCCAUUUGCAGUGUGCCUCUCGAAUGGGCAUUGUGGCUGGAAUCCUUCUCUUGUCUGAAGACUGAUGUCCUAGGAUUCUUAUUUCUGACCGUAACCUCUUACCGGAGAGAUGUUUGCCUUGUCCAUGCUUGGUUCCUUAAGACGCUAGAGAACAGCGGCCGUGUGUACAAAUCGAGCUUUUCAGAGGCUUAUACCUGAUUCUUAAUAAGCAAUAUAUAUAUAUUUUUUAACGUAGAAGUCUUCAAACCGCUUCUGUUCCAUUACUGUUUGCAGUCUGACUGCGUCCGUGUGCCCUCGGUGACUCUAAGCAAUACCUUGGACGUUUGUUUACUUUCCCAAAGGGCAGCUAAAAGCCACGGGGUCCGGGUUAGGUUGUGUGUCUUGGGUUGUCAGUGGCUGAGUGAAUCGAAGCUCCCUUGCUCCUUCCUGAUUUAAUGUAAUAACGUUAUUCUGAUUUUUUUUUUUUUGUAUGUCAGAUUUUGUAAGAUGUAUUUUCUAUUUGGCUCAUGAUCUUUUUGCUGGUUAUUUGCUUGAAAUGUUUUGUAGUGUGCCAGGGCAAACACUGCAUUUCAUUCUCGGUUUCAUAAUAAAACUGCUUCUCCAAGGCAA